Molecule: ribosomal RNA, 253 nt
Filed under: uncultured bacterium
Lineage: Bacteria
Description: partial 16S ribosomal RNA
Rfam family: Bacterial small subunit ribosomal RNA
Source: RNAcentral
UACGGAGGAUGCAAGAGUUAUCCGGAAUGAUUGGGCGUAAAGCGUCCGCAGGUGGUUGUGUGUGUCUAUUGUCAAAGCAUCAUGCUUAACAUGAUAAAGGCAGUAGAAACUACACGACUAGAGUGCGUUCGGGGCAGAGGGAAUUCCUGGUGUAGCGGUGAAAUGCGUAGAGAUCAGGAAGAACGCCGGUGGCGAAAGCGCUCUGCUAGGCCGCAACUGACACUGAGGGACGAAAGCUAGGUGAGCGAAUGGG